RNAcentral lists this ribosomal RNA (253 nucleotides) under uncultured bacterium. RNAcentral describes it as "partial 16S ribosomal RNA". It matches the Rfam family "Bacterial small subunit ribosomal RNA", at positions 524 to 776 of the family's 1533-position model. The record is from RNAcentral.
UACGUAGGGGGCAAGCGUUGUCCGGAUUUAUUGGGCGUAAAGCGCUCGCAGGUGGUUCGUUGCGUCGUGCGUGAAAGACCCCGGCUCAACUGGGGAGGGUCGUGCGAUACGGGCGAACUGGAGGCCAGUAGGGGGAUGCGGAAUUCCGGGUGUGGUGGUGGAAUGCGUAGAGAUCCGGAGGAACACCAGCGGCGAAGGCGGCAUCCUGGACUGGUCCUGACACUCAUGAGCGAAAGCGUGGGGAGCGAUCCGG